This 253-nucleotide ribosomal RNA is filed under the name uncultured bacterium. Its description in RNAcentral is "partial 16S ribosomal RNA". It matches the Rfam family "Bacterial small subunit ribosomal RNA", at positions 524 to 776 of the family's 1533-position model. The record is from RNAcentral.
UACGGGGGGAGCAAGCGUUGUUCGGAUUUACUGGGCGUAAAGGGCUCGUAGGCGGCCAACUAAGUCAGACGUGAAAUCCCCAGGCUCAACCUGGGAACUGCGUCUGAUACCGGAUGGCUUGAAUCCGGGAGAGGGAUGCAGAAUUCCAGGUGUAGCGGUGAAAUGCGUAGAUAUCUGGAGGAAUACCGGUGGCGAAGGCGGCAUCCUGGACCGGCAUUGACGCUGAGGAGCGAAAGCCAGGGGAGCAAACGGG